CAAAGUUGGAAGACCAUGACCCAGGCUAUGGCCCAUUCUUCCCACAGUUGAAUUUCCAAUCAUUUCUUCAAGCCGAUGGCGGUUCCUUCUUGAGGGAAGAGUUGAUGCAAGCUGAAAUUUUAUGGAAAUGAAACAAUUCAGUAUACCAAGUUUUCAGAAUAUCCUCGGCCUCAACUCUAUCAAGGGUCCCAUGAUGCCAAGCCUCACGUUUCGAUCGCGGGGCCGGAGGAGCAUUAAGUGACAGGAGCACUGUUACAACAUCAACAUGACCAUUACUAGCAGCUUCAUGUAAUGGAACAUGGCCUGGAAAGAAAAAAAAUUCAGUGUGCCUGAUUUGAAUGUUGGCUCCUCCCAUGUCAACCAAAAUUCUAGCUGUGCUAGCCUUAUUGUUUCUGCACGCAUACUGAAAAAGGACAUGAGUAGUACACAUAAGCGCCGUAACACAUCAGAUAGAUAUAAAGAUAGAAACUGUAA
Frankliniella occidentalis (western flower thrips) is the source of this 474-nucleotide long non-coding RNA. RefSeq lists it as uncharacterized. The record is from RefSeq and is a predicted model, not a curated record. NCBI's taxonomy places the organism in Eukaryota, Metazoa, Arthropoda, Insecta, Thysanoptera, Thripidae. The transcript has 4 exons.